This 347-nucleotide ribosomal RNA is filed under the name uncultured bacterium. RNAcentral's name for it is "partial 16S ribosomal RNA". It matches the Rfam family "Bacterial small subunit ribosomal RNA", at positions 338 to 682 of the family's 1533-position model. The record is from RNAcentral.
CCUACGGGUGGCAGCAGUGAGGAAUAUUGGUCAAUGGGCGCGAGCCUGAACCAGCCAAGUCGCGUGAGGGAGGACGGCCCUACGGGUUGUAAACCUCUUUUGCCGGGGAGCAAGGGGCGUCACGUGUGGCGCCACGGAGAGGACCCGGAGAAAAAGCAGCGGCGAACUCGGUGCCAGCAGCCGCGGUAAUACGGAGGAUGCGAGCGUUAUCAGGAUUUAUUGGGUUUAAAGGGUGCGUCGGCGGAUCGUUAAGUCAGUGGUCAAAUUGAGGGGCUCAACCCCUUCCCGCCAUUGAAACUGGCGCUCUUGAGUGGACGAGAAGUCUGCGGAAUGCGUGGUGUAGCGGU